This 699-nucleotide ribosomal RNA is filed under the name uncultured bacterium. RNAcentral describes it as "bacterial SSU rRNA". It matches the Rfam family "Bacterial small subunit ribosomal RNA", at positions 808 to 1503 of the family's 1533-position model. The record is from RNAcentral.
GAUGAACACUAGGUGUGGCGGACUGAUUCACGUCUGCUGCGCCGUAGCUAACGCGUUAAGUGUUCCGCCUGGGGAGUACGGCCGCAAGGCUAAAACUCAAAGGAAUUGACGGGGCCCCGCACAAGCGGCGGAGCAUGCGGCUUAAUUCGAUGCAACCCGAAGAACCUUACCUGGGUUUGACAUCAUGGGUCUAGCUGUGGAAACACAGUGUGCGUAAGCGCCCAUGACAGGUGGUGCAUGGCUGUCGUCAGCUCGUGUCGUGAGAUGUUGGGUUAAGUCCCGCAACGAGCGCAACCCUUGUCCUAUGUUGCCAGCACGUAAUGGUGGGGACUCAUGGGAGACUGCCGGGGACAACUCGGAGGAAGGCGAGGACGAUGUCAAGUCAUCAUGCCCCUUAUAUCCAGGGCUGCACGCAUGCUACAAUGGGCGAUACAAUGGGCUGCGAUCCCGCGAGGGUCAGCCAAUCCCGUAAAGUCGUCCUCAGUUCGGAUUGGAGUCUGCAACUCGACUCCAUGAAGCCGGAGUCGCUAGUAAUCGUGGAUCAGCAAAGCCACGGUGAAUACGUUCUCGGGGCUUGUACACACCGCCCGUCACAUCACGGAAGUCGGUAACACCCGAAGUCAGUGGCCUAACCCCUUGGGGAAGGAGCUGCCGAAGGUGGGAUUGGUGACUGGGAUGAAGUCGUAACAAGGUAACCGU